RNAcentral lists this transfer RNA (63 nucleotides) under Trilophidia annulata. Its description in RNAcentral is "tRNA-Thr". It matches the Rfam family "tRNA". Rfam says of the family: Transfer RNA (tRNA) molecules are approximately 80 nucleotides in length. Their secondary structure includes four short double-helical elements and three loops (D, anti-codon, and T loops). Further hydrogen bonds mediate the characteristic L-shaped molecular structure. tRNAs have two regions of fundamental functional importance: the anti-codon, which is responsible for specific mRNA codon recognition, and the 3' end, to which the tRNAs corresponding amino acid is attached (by aminoacyl-tRNA synthetases). tRNAs cope with the degeneracy of the genetic code in two manners: having more than one tRNA (with a specific anti-codon) for a particular amino acid; and 'wobble' base-pairing, i.e. permitting non-standard base-pairing at the 3rd anti-codon position. Lineage: Eukaryota; Metazoa; Arthropoda; Insecta; Orthoptera; Acrididae. The record is from RNAcentral.
GUUUUAAUAGUUUAAAAAAAACAUUGGUCUUGUAAACCAAAAAUAAGAGAAGCUUUUAAAACU